RNAcentral lists this long non-coding RNA (279 nucleotides) under Musa acuminata (dwarf banana). Its description in RNAcentral is "long non-coding RNA (MACU_LNC009689)". Lineage: Eukaryota; Viridiplantae; Streptophyta; Magnoliopsida; Zingiberales; Musaceae. The record is from RNAcentral.
GCAAGUGUUGUCGACGCUUCCGUUCGAGGUGAAGUAGGAAUUCUAAUGGCCUGUUCUCAAGUACGGUUCAGGUGCUUGUGUAAUCGAAAGAGAGAAUUUCUAGGUGGUAGGUUCAUUCUUCUUUUUUCUUUUAUAGAUAUAUAGCAUCAGUGAAUGAAUCAAAUUUCUUGUGAGUUGAAAGAAGGGUUUUCACCUGAAUUUGGAAUAAGUUAAUGUCAACAACAAAAGUAUAAGUGACAGUUAAGUAUAGAGCGGGUGCUUACAUGUGGAGUAUGCUGG